UGAUCGCGGCGGACGGGUGAGUAAUGCCUAGGAAUCUGCCUGGUAGUGGGGGACAACGUUUCGAAAGGAACGCUAAUACCGCAUACGUCCUACGGGAGAAAGCAGGGGACCUUCGGGCCUUGCGCUAUCAGAUGAGCCUAGGUCGGAUUAGCUAGUUGGUGGGGUAAUGGCUCACCAAGGCGACGAUCCGUAACUGGUCUGAGAGGAUGAUCAGUCACACUGGAACUGAGACACGGUCCAGACUCCUACGGGAGGCAGCAGUGGGGAAUAUUGGACAAUGGGCGAAAGCCUGAUCCAGCCAUGCCGCGUGUGUGAAGAAGGUCUUCGGAUUGUAAAGCACUUUAAGUUGGGAGGAAGGGCAGUAAGCUAAUACCUUGCUGUUUUGACGUUACCGACAGAAUAAGCACCGGCUAACUCUGUGCCAGCAGCCGCGGUAAUACAGAGGGUGCAAGCGUUAAUCGGAAUUACUGGGCGUAAAGCGCGCGUAGGUGGUUCGUUAAGUUGGAUGUGAAAGCCCCGGGCUCAACCUGGGAAAUGCAUCCAAAACUGGCGAGCUAGAGUACGGUAGAGGGUGGUGGAAUUUCCUGUGUAGCGGUGAAAUGCGUAGAUAUAGGAAGGAACACCAGUGGCGAAGGCGACCACCCGGACUGAUACUGACACUGAGGUGCGAAAGCGUGGGGAGCAAACAGGAUUAGAUACCCUGGUAGUCCACGCCGUAAACGAUGUCAACUAGCCGUUGGAAUCCUUGAGAUUUUAGUGGCGCAGCUAACGCAUUAAGUUGACCGCCUGGGGAGUACGGCCGCAAGGUUAAAAAUCAAAUGAAUUGACGGGGGCCCGCACAAGCGGUGGAGCAUGUGGUUUAAUUUGAAGCAACGCGAAGAACCUUACCAGGCCUUGACAUGCAGAGAACUUCCAGAGAUGGAUUGG
Molecule: ribosomal RNA, 927 nt
Filed under: Pseudomonas sp. s224(2010)
Lineage: Bacteria; Pseudomonadati; Pseudomonadota; Gammaproteobacteria; Pseudomonadales; Pseudomonadaceae
Description: bacterial SSU rRNA
Rfam family: Bacterial small subunit ribosomal RNA
Source: RNAcentral